RNAcentral lists this ribosomal RNA (501 nucleotides) under uncultured bacterium. RNAcentral describes it as "partial 16S ribosomal RNA". It matches the Rfam family "Bacterial small subunit ribosomal RNA", at positions 30 to 523 of the family's 1533-position model. The record is from RNAcentral.
AUUGAACGCUGGCGGCAGGCUUAACACAUGCAAGUCGAGCGGGGGAAGGUAGCUUGCUACUGGACCUAGCGGCGGACGGGUGAGUAAUGCUUAGGAAUCUGCCUAUUAGUGGGGGACAACAUCUCGAAAGGGAUGCUAAUACCGCAUACGUCCUACGGGAGAAAGCAGGGGAUCUUCGGACCUUGCGCUAAUAGAUGAGCCUAAGUCGGAUUAGCUAGUUGGUGGGGUAAAGGCCUACCAAGGCGACGAUCUGUAGCGGGUCUGAGAGGAUGAUCCGCCACACUGGGACGUAGACACGGCCCAGACUGCUACGGGAGGCAGCAGUGGGGAAUAUUGGACAAUGGGGGGAACCCUGAUCCAGCCAUGCCGCGUGUGUGAAGAAGGCCUUAUGGUUGUAAAGCACUUUAGGCGAGGAGGAGGCUACUUUAGUUAAUACCUAGAGAUAGUGGACGUUACUCGCAGAAUAAGCACCGGCUAACUCUGUGCCAGCCGCCGCCGUAA